CAUCGUGUCUUUUAUUGAGUGCAUUAAAGACAUGAGAUCAAAGGCUGGCUACUUUCAGCGCUACAAGAGUUCCCGUGGCACAUUACUAGGGAAAUUUUUUUCUACCAGUUCAAAUGGCUAUGCUAAUUUUCCAUUCAGCCUCUGUUUUUUUCCCUAAGCUCACAGGAUGAGUAAGGAUGUCCUCUGGCUUCUCCCAUCACAGACACUGCCUCACAGUGCUCUUGUCCUGAUCUGACCUGGCUGUCACGAAGCUCACUGUGGGUUUUGUACCUGUGCUCUGACUGUUGGGCUGGACCGGGACAUCACUGCUCUGCCGGAGAGAAACCUUUUGCAUUUCAGCCAGGAUCCCUGCCCUCGCCCAGCCGCUCUCUCCGUCUUCCCUUCGCCCAGCUCUGCCCACCUCAGCUUCUGCAGGAGAGGCAGACCGCUCGCCGGCGUUUAGCAACGCCCCUACUAGUCGAUGUGAUGUUAACGCUCUCGCUCUGAAUGAAUUUCCUCUUUGUUUGCCUGUGAUGGAAAACUCUGUGAAA
RNAcentral lists this long non-coding RNA (530 nucleotides) under Anser cygnoides (Swan goose). RNAcentral's name for it is "lncRNA (ENSACDG00005016566.1)". The record is from RNAcentral. Lineage: Eukaryota; Metazoa; Chordata; Aves; Anseriformes; Anatidae.